RNAcentral lists this long non-coding RNA (410 nucleotides) under Chrysemys picta bellii (western painted turtle). RNAcentral describes it as "lncRNA (ENSCPBG00000008399.1)". Lineage: Eukaryota; Metazoa; Chordata; Testudines; Emydidae. The record is from RNAcentral.
CCAGCUGAACUGAGGUUUGCAUGUUUUAUGAUCAUCAGCUGCUCAAGCUCUUUUCCAGUGAGAGAGUGGCAAACCAAAUCUUUGACAGCAUUUGGAUGAUAGAAGAGAGUGACAGCAGCAGACGUGCUAAAAUGAAAACUAAAACUGCAGUGGUUUGCGCCUGUGCCAUCCUCAUGGUUUUUCUUAUAGUUGAAUCUUGGUGUGCUCCAAAGGUAAAAUUUGGGUUAAAAAUGUCUCUGCAGGACUUUAUGAGAGGAUUCAUUUCUAGCCGAAUAAUUUCUACUUUGUUUUUGCAACUUGCAGAACAAACUCAUAGCAAGAAAUUGGGGCCCACAAUCAAUGCUAUACCUCAAAGGACAAUAUGGUAGAAGAUAUGCUUCUGAUAGUGAAGAGCAAUAUUACAAGCUUGA